RNAcentral lists this ribosomal RNA (490 nucleotides) under Bacillus subtilis. RNAcentral describes it as "bacterial SSU rRNA". It matches the Rfam family "Bacterial small subunit ribosomal RNA", at positions 32 to 504 of the family's 1533-position model. Lineage: Bacteria; Bacillati; Bacillota; Bacilli; Caryophanales; Bacillaceae. The record is from RNAcentral.
AACGCUGGCGGCGUGCCUAAUACAUGCAAGUCGAGCGGACAGAUGGGAGCUUGCUCCCUGAUGUUAGCGGCGGACGGGUGAGUAACACGUGGGUAACCUGCCUGUAAGACUGGGAUAACUCCGGGAAACCGGGGCUAAUACCGGAUGGUUGUUUGAACCGCAUGGUUCAAACAUAAAAGGUGGCUUCGGCUACCACUUACAGAUGGACCCGCGGCGCAUUAGCUAGUUGGUGAGGUAACGGCUCACCAAGGCAACGAUGCGUAGCCGACCUGAGAGGGUGAUCGGCCACACUGGGACUGAGACACGGCCCAGACUCCUACGGGAGGCAGCAGUAGGGAAUCUUCCGCAAUGGACGAAAGUCUGACGGAGCAACGCCGCGUGAGUGAUGAAGGUUUUCGGAUCGUAAAGCUCUGUUGUUAGGGAAAAACAAGUACCGUUCGAAUAGGGCGGUACCUUGACGGUACCUAACCAGAAAGCCACGGCUAACUAC